AUACAUAGGGGGCAAGCGUUGUCCGGAAUUAUUGGGCGUAAAGCGUGCGUAGGCGGUUUAUUAAGUCUGAUGUUAAAUCCCACAGCUCAACUGUGGGCUGCCAUUGGAAACUGGUAGACUUGAGUGCGGUAGAGGUAAGUGGAAUUCCAAGUGGAGCGGUGGAAUGCGUAGAUAUUUGGAGGAACACCAGUGGCGAAGGCGGCUUACUGGGCCGUUACUGACGCUGAGGCACGAAAGCGUGGGGAGCAAACAGGAUUAGAUACCCUAGUAGUCCACGCUGUAAACGAUGACAACUAAAUAUUGCCGCGAGGCAGUGUUGAAGCUAACGCAUUAAGUUGUCCGCCUGGGGAGUACGGUCGCAAGACUGAAACUUAAAGGAAUUGACGGGG
This 389-nucleotide ribosomal RNA is filed under the name uncultured bacterium. Its description in RNAcentral is "partial 16S ribosomal RNA". It matches the Rfam family "Bacterial small subunit ribosomal RNA", at positions 523 to 918 of the family's 1533-position model. The record is from RNAcentral.